RNAcentral lists this long non-coding RNA (521 nucleotides) under Homo sapiens (human). Its description in RNAcentral is "HSALNT0362579". The record is from RNAcentral. Lineage: Eukaryota; Metazoa; Chordata; Mammalia; Primates; Hominidae.
UGGUCACCUCUCUUCCAGUGGCCUCCUCUUCCUAAUUGGCCUCUCUGUCCCAAAGUUUUUUUCCUCUCCCAUUUAUCCCCCUGUGCCAGUGCAGUCUUCCCAGAGCUUAGCACCAAGCUGCCACCUGCCCAGCCAUUGGCUCAUUGUCUGGAAUACUCUCCCUCCAGCCUUUUCCUGGUUCACUCCUAAUUAUCUCUGCUAUCACAGCUUGGUCUCCAAGUCCUUCUCCUGUGUGCUGCCUCAACAACCAAGGCAUCCUCCAGAAUCCUGCCUAUCAGCCUGUAGGAGAAGGAGGAGAAGAAGGAAGGAUACAGGAUGAGAAUCAGAGGAUGAAAAAGAACAGAUAGGGCCCCAGAGAGGAGAGAUGGAAGCACACAGAUGGAGAGAAGUUGAAAGACAGAGAGAAAGAAGUGGGAUGAGAGCCUGGAAUAAAGUGGCUCCACCAUGAGAAGAGCAGGACCCUUCAGUGUGGGCCCCGUCUGAGUCCAACCCACAUGCACAAGCCACCCAGCUGAACUUGG